Molecule: ribosomal RNA, 468 nt
Filed under: uncultured bacterium
Lineage: Bacteria
Description: partial 16S ribosomal RNA
Rfam family: Bacterial small subunit ribosomal RNA
Source: RNAcentral
GACGAACGCUGGCGGCGUGCUUAACACAUGCAAGUCGAACGGCAAGGCCCUGCUUUUGUGGGGUGCUCGAGUGGCGAACGGGUGAGUAACACGUGAGUAACCUGCCCUUGACUUUGGGAUAACUUCAGGAAACUGGGGCUAAUACCGGAUAGGAGCUCAUGCUGCAUGGUGGGGGUUGGAAAGUUUCGGCGGUUGGGGAUGGACUCGCGGCUUAUCAGCUUGUUGGUGGGGUAGUGGCUUACCAAGGCUUUGACGGGUAGCCGGCCUGAGAGGGUGACCGGCCACAUUGGGACUGAGAUACGGCCCAGACUCCUACGGGAGGCAGCAGUGGGGAAUAUUGCACAAUGGGAGGAAGCCUGAGGCAGCAACGCCGCGUGCGGGAUGACGGCCUUCGGGUUGUAAACCGCUUUCGCCUGUGACGAAGCGUGAGUGACGGUAAUGGGUAAAGAAGCACCGGCUAACUACGUG